GGACGAUUAGCUCAGUUGGCUAGAGCACCUGCUUGACGUGCAGGGGGUCGUAGGUUCGAGUCCUGUAUCGUCCACCA
RNAcentral lists this transfer RNA (77 nucleotides) under Oscillospiraceae bacterium. Its description in RNAcentral is "tRNA-Val". It matches the Rfam family "tRNA". From Rfam's summary of the family: Transfer RNA (tRNA) molecules are approximately 80 nucleotides in length. Lineage: Bacteria; Bacillati; Bacillota; Clostridia; Eubacteriales; Oscillospiraceae. The record is from RNAcentral.